Long non-coding RNA from Herpailurus yagouaroundi (jaguarundi), 551 nucleotides. RefSeq lists it as uncharacterized. Lineage: Eukaryota; Metazoa; Chordata; Mammalia; Carnivora; Felidae. The transcript is spliced from 3 exons. The record is from RefSeq and is a predicted model, not a curated record.
UCCAAAUGUAAGGAUCAGUUCCUUUUUUAAAAAUUGCUGAGCAGGAUUCUCUUUUAUGUUACACCAUAAUUCGUUUAUCCAUUCACCUGAUGAUGGACACAGGGAUUGUUUCAUUUGGGGGCAUUACAAAUAGGGUUGCUAUGAUAUGUGUGGAUACAAGUUUUUGUCUAAACAUACACUUUUCUUUUGAGUAAAUACCGAGGCAUGGGUUGAUUGGAUCAUAUGAUAGGUGUGUGUUUAACUUUUUAAGAAAGUGCUAGACUUUUCCAAAAUGCUGGUACCACUUUACAUUUCCACUAACAGUGUAUGAGAAUUUCAGUGCCUUUACUUCUACACCAGCACUUGAUGUGGUCAGUCUUCUUAAUUGUAGUCAUUCUAAUGAAUGUGAAGUAGGUUUUCAUUUGAACUUCCCUAGUGACUAAUGAUGUUGCAUAUCUUUUAUGUGCCUUUUUUUCUUGCCAUUCAUGCAUCUUAUUCUGUGACUGUGAUGAAGCAUUUUCCUAAUUCUUUCUCUUAAGUUUUAAAAGUUCUUUUAAAAUAUAUAUUCCAGA